AAGCCUACGGGGGGCAGCAGUGGGGGAUAUUGCACAAUGGGGGAAACCCUGAUGCAGCGACGCCGCGUGAGUGAAGAAGUAUUUCGGUAUGUAAAGCUCUAUCAGCAGGGAAGAAAAUGACAGUACCUGACCAAGAAGCCCCGGCUAACUACGUGCCAGCAGCCGCGGUAAUACGUAGGGGGCAAGCGUUAUCCGGAUUUACUGGGUGUAAAGGGGGCGCAGACGGCGAUGCAAGCCAGGAGUGAAAGCCCG
This 252-nucleotide ribosomal RNA is filed under the name uncultured bacterium. RNAcentral describes it as "partial 16S ribosomal RNA". It matches the Rfam family "Bacterial small subunit ribosomal RNA", at positions 335 to 604 of the family's 1533-position model. The record is from RNAcentral.